AAAAUUUUAGUUUAAUUUAAAAUAUUCUAUUUACGAUAGAGAGAUUAUUUUUUAUAAAAUUUUU
This 64-nucleotide transfer RNA is filed under the name Tetraponera aethiops. RNAcentral describes it as "tRNA-Val". Lineage: Eukaryota; Metazoa; Arthropoda; Insecta; Hymenoptera; Formicidae. The record is from RNAcentral.